GCUGCGGAGAGCAGAGUUGACAAACAACUUCUUCAGAGCUGGGUUAGGUGAGACAGCGAAGGGGCCACUCUUCCACAUCCCACCACCAGAGAACAGGGCUGCGCGGGAAUGAAGCCAGCCCAGAGGAAAGCGGAAGCAACCACGGCCAGGUCACGUGGACCCUGCUGCACCUCAGCAGGUCACGAGGCCAAUUCGAGAGGCACAGUUCUGCAAGGAUGAAAGAUGGGAGUGGAGAAGACAACAAAGAUGGACGAGCUGGGGCCAUGAUGAUGAAGACGAUGAUGAUGAUGAUGGUGGCCGAGUGCCCUGUGAUUUACAGGCCCAUGUGGUUUCAUGUUUGCAGCAGCCAAUCAAGUGGGUACCAGGUGCUAUCAUUCCCACUUUACAGAUGAGCAGACUGAGCCCCAGACAGGUUAAGGGACUCCCCCAGCCCUGCAAUGAGGAAGGGCCCAGCACAGCUCCAGGCACAAGGAGGGACUCCAGGCAUGGGGAGGUGUGGUGGACCAGGCCUGGCCGGGAGCUUGUCCACAAGGCAGAGCUCCACCCAGGCUCCCGGACCGGGAUCCACACAUGAACAACAGGCCCAGGAGUUCCCAUGGCUGUGGCUGGUGGACCCCCACACAUGCUCUCCAGAGCCUGAGAAAUGCUCAUCCUGCAGGUGAUUUGGGGGGGUCUGCUCCCACCUGCACUGCUCUCAGACCAAAUUUCUGCUUCCUGACAGAAUUUCUAGGAUCCUCCCUCUGUCCUCUUAGCCGAGGAGGGGAGAAGCUCUCUCCCUCCCUCACCACGGGGCAGGUCACCAGUGGGAGGAUUUCAUGACCCACAUGCCUCCCAGGGCUGGCGUGUGGGGUCCAGCGGUCCCAGCCACAUCUAUGUCAUCCCGCUUCCUUUCCCCUCACUGAGAAAGAGGCGGAAGAGAGGUUGUUGCUCCCACCUUUUGGAUGGGGAAACUGAGGCCUAGAGCACAAAAGCAGCUUGCCCAGGGCCUGGCAGCACCAGUCCCGCCCACGACCCACCGCCCUUUCCGCCGCUCCACUCUUACCUCCUCCCCCAGGUUUCUGGGUCUGGGUUUAUCUCUUUAUCUAGGUCUGCACCCACAGCUGCCCCAUUAGAUCAAACAGGGGUUGGCUUCCAGGAACGCCGGGUGCCUUGGCAUUGCUGGCCUGGCUGGCAGCUGCUGGUUGGUGAGCCCCGGGUGAGGCUGUCUCCUCUCCCCAGGCACUCCCCAGGCCUUUAGAGAGGACAUUCUCCCACUCUCUUUUAUGGAAAGCCAUGGAAUCUUCUGUGUGGAUGCAGCCUGGGCAGCCAGAGAGGGGUGGCCACUGAGGCCUGGCCCUGGCCCUCACGUGGCCGCAGCUGACCCCUCCCCACCGCAGCUCUCCAGUCUCCUCUGCAACGUGACAGCCCUGGCUUCUCUACCGUUGGGAGGAAGUAUUUUUAGUUUUGAACCCACCACGUGAAGCGAGACAAGUUAUCAAUAGCAGCAGCAAAGGGCUUUUUCUUUCUCUUUUUUUUUUCCCCAUAUCUUUGGGACCUGAACAAUCUGCACCCAUUAAAUUCUGCCAA
Cercocebus atys (sooty mangabey) is the source of this 1566-nucleotide long non-coding RNA. RefSeq lists it as uncharacterized. The record is from RefSeq and is a predicted model, not a curated record. NCBI's taxonomy places the organism in Eukaryota, Metazoa, Chordata, Mammalia, Primates, Cercopithecidae. The transcript has 3 exons.